Molecule: ribosomal RNA, 170 nt
Filed under: Pycnoplax suruguensis
Lineage: Eukaryota; Metazoa; Arthropoda; Malacostraca; Decapoda; Goneplacidae
Description: partial 16S rRNA
Source: RNAcentral
GCUUUAUAAAUUAAUUAAAUUUUAUUGAGUUAAAAAAUUUAAAAAUUUAAUUUAAUUGUUUUAUUUUAUUGGGGCGAUAUAAAUAUAAAUUGUAUUAACUGUUUGAAAUUUAUACAAUAAUAAUUGAUUUAAAUUUUAAAGAUCCUCUUUAGUGAUUUUAAGACCAAGUU